This 21-nucleotide non-coding RNA is filed under the name Caenorhabditis elegans. The record is from RNAcentral. Lineage: Eukaryota; Metazoa; Nematoda; Chromadorea; Rhabditida; Rhabditidae.
UUUGUUAUUCUUUUCAUGAAC